AGCGAACGCUGGCGGUAGGCCUAACACAUGCAAGUCGAACGGCAGCACAGUAAGAGCUUGCUCUUACGGGUGGCGAGUGGCGGACGGGUGAGGAAUACAUCGGAAUCUACUUUUUCGUGGGGGAUAACGUAGGGAAACUUACGCUAAUACCGCAUACGACCUACGGGUGAAAGCAGGGGAUCUUCGGACCUUGCGCGAUUGAAUGAGCCGAUGUCGGAUUAGUUAGUUGGCGGGGUAAAGGCCCACCAAGGCGACGAUCCGUAGCUGGUCUGAGAGGAUGAUCAGCCACACUGGAACUGGGACACGGUCCAGACUCCUACGGGAGGCAGCAGUGGGGAAUAUUGGACAAUGGGCGCAAGCCUGAUCCAGCCAUACCGCGUGGGUGAAGAAGGCCUUCGGGUUGUAAAGCCCUUUUGUUGGGAAAGAAAAGCAGCAGGUUAAUACCCCGCUGUUCUGACGGUACCCAAAGAAUAAGCACCGGCUAACUUCGUG
This 492-nucleotide ribosomal RNA is filed under the name uncultured bacterium. Its description in RNAcentral is "partial 16S ribosomal RNA". It matches the Rfam family "Bacterial small subunit ribosomal RNA", at positions 29 to 507 of the family's 1533-position model. The record is from RNAcentral.